GUAUUACCGCUUAAAAGGUGGUUUUGUAUUUAUAAUAAAAACUGAUCGUUUACAUUUAACAUAGAAUAUAAAAAUAGUUUUGUCUGGGUAGCAACAUAACUGUUGCAUAGGGUAUGUUGUUUAAUGAUAAUACUAUAUGAAAAUUCCUCGAGCCAGCUGACUUACACUAUGGAUAGUGUACAAGGCAACAGUUAUAGAACAUCACGUGAUAAAGUUGAUGGAAACGGCAAAAUAUUUAUUUACAAUAUAUGUGUUUCCAGGGGAAGAGCCUGUUACAAAGUCUGUGUCUAAAAAAAAGUAAACUCGCUCCUUGUCGGACAAAACUGAAUGUAAUUAAGUUAACUACCUAUGUACAGUAUCAGUGGAGUACUUGAAUUAAUAUCAAAUUGUAACCCGAGAUGCUGGUGCCACACCUUAUUACGUGACCACCCAGUGAGGCGUAAACACUCAGGGGCAUGAUAUACACCCUUGUGUUUGAUUUGAUAUACCAAUCAGCCGUGGACGCCCGACCAUAAAAAUGGUAUAUAUAGAUUUAACCCUAAUCAGGUAUCGUUAAAUAUCGUUAAAUCGUCGAGAACGUUCUGUCAGACGAUCAAACGAUAACAAUUCAACAAGUCGGUAAAUCACAUCGAAAACCCAAGUUCUGGUCGCAGUGAGAAGCUCUGGAUACCUUGAGGAGGUUUCACCAGCUCUGCUUCAACAACGUUGACAUGGGUAAGGCAUUUUAUUCUAUUUUUGUACACCAAACACUGUAUAUAUCUUGAAGAACCUUUGCCUUCUGUUUGGAUCAUGGUUUCUUUAUGAACAUAUUCACUGAACAUGUUGCUACCCUAUUACAGAUCUUACCAACGUCAUCAACAGUCAAGGCAGACAUCUUUCUUCAAGAAAUCUGCCCAAAAGGAAAAACACUGAAAUUGGACCAGUCAAGCUGCAAGACUUUGUCGGCCAGUCAAAAGUGGACGCUGCAAUCCAAGGUGAAACUUUCUUUCUCAUGGUGGGGCACACGCAUGAAGAUUUGGGUCAACUGUUAAGUGUUUAGUGCAAGGGAACUUAGACAGAAGCCUGCAACAACCCGCGAUGCCCUCCUUCAAGAUUGGGGACAUCCGGACACCCACCACCAAGCUAUCAGACUUCAAGCCCUUCAUGCCUGCCCCAAGGGAAGCGACAACCUUCCCAACUAAAGUUCAAGAGGCAAUAGAGAAGAACAAUGAAAAACUGCAAAAACAAUCAAAGAUCACUCUGACAAAGCACCGAAGACAAGCGUCAGUAUCAGAACAAUAAAGAAG
RNAcentral lists this long non-coding RNA (1286 nucleotides) under Haliotis rufescens (red abalone). Its description in RNAcentral is "uncharacterized LOC125374607, transcript variant X1". Lineage: Eukaryota; Metazoa; Mollusca; Gastropoda; Lepetellida; Haliotidae. The record is from RNAcentral.